AGCAGUAGCCGCGGGAAAACGGAGGGUGCAAGCGUUAAUCGGAAUUACUGGGCGUAAAGCGCACGCAGGCGGUCUGUCAAGUCGGAUGUGAAAUCCCCGGGCUCAACCUGGGAACUGCAUUCGAAACUGGCAGGCUAGAGUCUUGUAGAGGGGGGUAGAAUUCCAGGUGUAGCGGUGAAAUGCGUAGAGAUCUGGAGGAAUACCGGUGGCGAAGGCGGCCCCCUGGACAAAGACUGACGCUCAGGUGCGAAAGCGUGGGGAGCAAACAGGAUUAGAUACCCGUGUAGUCCCUGUCUCUUAUAC
This 303-nucleotide ribosomal RNA is filed under the name uncultured bacterium. Its description in RNAcentral is "partial 16S ribosomal RNA". It matches the Rfam family "Bacterial small subunit ribosomal RNA", at positions 507 to 807 of the family's 1533-position model. The record is from RNAcentral.